This 8279-nucleotide long non-coding RNA is filed under the name Triticum aestivum (bread wheat). Its description in RNAcentral is "long non-coding RNA (TAES_LNC025610)". Lineage: Eukaryota; Viridiplantae; Streptophyta; Magnoliopsida; Poales; Poaceae. The record is from RNAcentral.
GUGUAUUUUGUUUGGUUCGUUGCAUUCAUCUUUGCAUCAUGUGCAUUGCAUCAUGUCAUCAUGCAACCCGUUUUAAAACUCAACCAAAUAAACCGUAUGGAUCUUCGGUCCAUUUAAAUCGAGGGAGUUCACAAGGUGAAAUUCUCUUUAUAACAUAUAAAAGUCUCCUACUAUUUUAGGGAGCUAUAUUGAAAUAUUCCAUUAGUGUGGAACCACCCUCAAACACACUUGCAGUUUAAAUUAUAUGCCUUUCAUAAUUUCCUUUCCAACCUUCUCCAAACCCUAUGCCCAAUUCUUUCCCUAACCAUUGCUCUUCUCUCUUUUUCUCCUUUCUUUUUUUCUAUAAGAGUAGAGAAGUAAGGAGAGAGGGAGCCCAGCUACCAACCCUUUUGGCCAAGGCCUCUCGCAGCCCAGCAGCCACCUCCCACCAGUGGCCUAUAGGCCCAUCCAGCCGCCGGCCUUCCUAGGCCAACUCCAGCGCUGGCCCAAGGCCCAGCCACACCCUCCAACCCUAGCAGUCUACCAGGCCCGACCGAAUCCCCUCUCAACUCCCUCGAACUCCUUCCCUCGUUCCCUCACCGCCGCCAGAGCCAUCUCCUCGAUCCUCCUCGCUCUCUCCUCUCACCUUCUCUCUCGCACUCACAGAGAGCAGCCCGAUCCCCAUCGCCAUCAGCUCGAGCCUCCUUCCUCCUCGAUCCGGCCCGCUGCCGGCGCCCUGCAGUCGUCGCCGUCUUGCCGCUAUGCUGCACCCCACCUCCAUGGCCGCCGCGCCCCGCCUCGAUGCCCGGAUGCCACUUCGCCCCGCCGCCCGACCCUGCUGGUCGAGCUCGUUGACUCGCGGCCGAGUCCUCCUCCUGCGCCGCACGUGCAGUCAGAAAAGGGAGGGAGAGCUCCAUGCGCCAUUCACUUCUCUCCCUUGACACCCAUCUCUCCCUCUCGGCCAUGGCAUCACCACCCUCAAACCGUCCCCUUCGGCCUCGACUCCGGCGAGCGCCGCGCCCUGCCAACUCUUCUCCGCACGAAGCCACCCCUCUGCUUCCUCGUUCCUUUGCCUGCGCACCGUGCAUUUUUGGUUCAGCCAUGGAUGGCCGGCUCUGCCAAGUUCCCCGUUGCCACAUCGUGGCCAUGCCCUCCUCCCGUGCUCGACGCCGCAGCCACACAUGAGGGCGCCUCCUCCCGCCUGCGCCUCUCUCUCCAGCAUGGCCGCCAUAGGCUCCUCAGGAAGCCGCGCCGCCCGCCUCUGGCCAUGGCUCCGGCGAGAACCGGGCAGCCCCACACCAGAGCUGUCGUUCCUGCUGCUGCCGUGUUUUCCCGUGACAAACGAAAUGGGCACGCCACCUCCCCGCCAUGGUGACGCGCGCCCCUGUUCAUCGUCGUGGUCAUCGUGACCCCUUUGUUGGCCGCCAAGACCACCAUGGUGCUGCCUUGUUUUGGUUCACUAAGGUCCGCACCGAAACAUCGUCACGGUCGACUACAUUUUGCUGUCCCGACCGGAACCAUCAAGUACUCGAGACACAAUGGCGCCAAGUGCCAAUAGGAACGUGAACGACUACCAUCGAAGUGUACGACUACGCGACGCCCGCCAAGUUCAAUGACGCUGGCCGCCCGAACGACUACCGCCGACGCGUACCUCUCCGUUGUCGUGGGUUUCGCCAAGUCCAACGGUGAACCCCGAAGUCAUCGGAUCCGUCAAGUCCAACAACGACUAUGUACAACUAUCAGCGACCACGAACGUCUACGAAACAUGUACCACGACCAUCGCGGAAGACCCCGUGGACAUCAAGUUCCGUGUCGUGACCCAGAACAUCUACGAAGCGAGAACGACUACUUCCACUACCACCGUCGCAAGAACGCCUACUUCCCUCUACAAACUUGAUCCAUCCUGUUUGCAUGCUUCGAUGGUAUAACCUUAAGACAACGUCCGUGAAUGAAUGCUUGCGAUGUAUGAGUUGCACCCUAUGUUUGCACCGUGUCCGAGUUGUCACUUGCUCGGUCCUCCUCGUUGCCAUGCCGUCCAUCCGUGGGACACCCGGUAUCCGGGAGUGCCCCACCAUCUUUUCCACGCAUCCGCACACUUCUCCUUUGCAUUGGUAUCUCAAUCGAGGUACCGGAACCGGAACGCUGCCGUGGCACCAUUUUUUUAUCGUUGUCGUGGCACCCCUUUCCUUUCCACCACGGUGACAAAUGCUUCUUAAUGCUCUUGUCAACUUUUAAUAAAAAUUGCAUAAACUUGUUCAUGUCAUCCGCAUCAUGAUAACAACAAUUAAAAUGUUUAAAUUGUUGUUGCAAUAAAUUAUUAAUGCAUAUGGGGGUUUACCGGAUUCGUUAUUAGUUAUACCUGGCCCCAUUUAAAUUCUUUAGAUGGUGUAGUUUUGUUAUGCCUCACCUCUUGCCAUGCUUAACAACAUUUAAUAUUGUUGAGUACAUAAACGCGAGAGAACUAAAUAAUUGAUGUGGUGUUCCGUCAACAUGCAACUCGUUGCAUAUUGAGCUCCACUUAACUUGUAGUUUUGUUUGUGCCCUUUGCCAUGCCAUGCAUAUUUAAACCGGACAUGCAUCAUACUUUUUUGCGCAUCAUACCAUGUUAUGUGAUGGUUGUUUACUAUGUUGUUUGCUUCUUUCCGGGUUGCUUCUCGCGGUAGCUUCGGUUUCGUUCCGGAGUUGUGAGGGUCCGUUCGACUACGUCCAUUUGUCUUCUUCAUGGACUCGUUCUUCUUCCUUGAGGGAUCUCAGGCAAGAUGACCAUACCCUCGAAAUCACUUCUAUCUUUGCUUUCUAGUUGCUCGCUCUUUUGCUAUGCCUAUGUUGCGAUACCUACCACUUGCUUAUCAUGCCUUCCUUAUUGUUGAGCCAGGCCUCUAACCCACCUUGACCUAGCAAACCGUUGUUUGGCUAUGUUACCGCUUUGCUCAGCCCCUCUUAUAGCGUUGUUAGUUGCAGGUGAAGAUUGGAGCUUGUUCCGUGUUUGGAACAUGGAUAUUUGUUGGGAUAUCACAAUAUCUCUUAUUUAAUUAAUGCAUCUAUAUACUUGGUAAAGGGUGGAAGGCUCGGCCUUAUGCUUGGUGUUUUGUUCCACUCUUGCCGCCCUAGUUUACGUCAUAUCGGUGUUAUGUUCCCGGAUUUUGCGUUACUCACGCGGUUGGGUUAUAAUGGGAACACCUUGACAGUUCGCCUUGAGUAAAACUCCUCCAGCAAUGCUCAACAUUGGUUUUACCAUUUGCCACCUAGCCUUCUCUUUCCCUUGGGUCGGCCGGCUCAAGGGUCAUCUUAUUUUAACCCCCCCUGGGGCCAGUGCUUCUCUAAGUGUUGGUCCAAACUGAGCGAUGUCCGAGGCUACCAGGGGCAACUCUGGGCUGGCUUACCCGACGCCUUGCUCAUCCGGUGUGCCCUGAGAACGAGAUAUGUGCAGCUCCUAUCGGGAUUUGUCGGCACAUCUGGGUGGUCUUGCUGGUCUUGUUUUACCAUUGUCAAAAUGUCUUGUAACCGGGAUUCCAAGCCUGAUCGGGUCUUCCCGCUAGAAGGAAUAUCCUUUGUUGACCGUGAGAGCUUGUGAUGGGCUAAGUUGGGACACCCCUGCAGGGAUUUGAACUUUCGAAAGCCGUGCCCACGGUUAUGGGCAGAUGGGAAUUUGUUAAUGUCCGGUUGUAGAAAACCUGAAGUUGACCUUAAUUAAAAUACAUCAACCGCGUGUGUAACCGUGAUGGUCUCUUCUCGGCGGAUUCCGGGGAGUGAACACGGUGUUGGAGUAAUGCUUGACGUAGGUUGUUCUAGGAUCACUUCUUGAUCAUAGUUGUUUGACCGUGCUUUGUCUUCUCUUAUCGCUCUCUUUUGCGUAUGUUAGCCACCAUAUAUGCUAGUCGCUUGCUGCAGCUCCACCUCAUACCUUUUACCCUACCUAUAAGCUUAAAUAGUCUUGAUCGUGAGGGUGUGAGAUUGCUGAGUCCCUAUGGCUCACAGAUACUUCCAAAACCAGUUUGCAGGUGCCGAUGAUACCGAGCAGGUGACACAACCAAGCUCAAGGAGGAGGUCGAUGAAGAUCUUGUCCUUUGUGUUGUUUCAUUUCUAGUUGAUAAGUAGUGGAGCCCAGUUGGGGUCGAUCGGGGAUCUGUGUAGCUUUUGGGGUAGUCUUCUUUUAUUUUGGCUCCGUAGUCGGGCCUUGAUUGUAUUUGGAUGAUGUAAUGCUUUAUUCAUGUAAUUGUGUGAAGUGGCGAUUGUAAGCCAACUAUGUAUCUUUUUCCCUUAUGUAUUACAUGGGUUGUGUGAAGAUUACCUCACUUGGGACAUUGCUUUCAAUGUGGUUAUGCCUCUAAGUCGUGCUCCGACACGUGGGAGAUAUAGCCGCAUCGAGGGCGUUACAAGUUGGUAUCAGAGCCUUCCCCGACCUUAGGAGCCCCCUGCUUGAUCGAAUCGUUGGCGUUGUUGAGUCUAGAAAAAUGUUUUGAGUCAUUUAGGAUUUUAUAUAUCGGAGAGUUAGGAAUUCUUUUUACUCCUCAGUCCCUUCGUCGCUCUGGUGAGGACUCCUGACGUAGAGUUUUGACUCUUCUCUUCUCAAAUUUCACUAACAAAAUUUAGGAUCACGCGGGUAUCUUGGAAUCGUUCCGAUGGUUUUGUGACGAGAACAUUGUUCUUGGUGCCUCCUGACAUUUAGGGGUUGUGGCAGUGUCCCGGGGAGUUGAGCUCCGAGGUGUUGUCGUCAUAAUUUUAUCGUUGCAGUUCUGGAAUACCUGAGUUUCGCCAACAUCAAAAAUCUCUUUUGUGCAGUUGUUGGUGAGAUAACCUCGAUGCCACCUAGUACUGGGGCGGGAGUUCGGGAGUAUUGUCAUAACUUGUAUAACGGGUGGUUUUCGAAGGUUGAGGUAAAUGAUUUCCGAAGGUUUCUUGGUUAUGUGUUGAAGGAUGGAUAUAGCUAGAUGUAGGAUUUGUUAGUUUUGGGUGAGAUAUUAUGCUUCCCCUGUAUCCCCAACACAUCAUUGCAUAACCGGAAAAUUUCGGGAGUUUAUAAGUGGGAAUUCAAGUAGCUCUUAGGAUCUGUUUUCGACAGAUGUAUGAUAUGAAAUUGGGGUUCGACGUCUACUGGUCCGCCUAUCCACGGUUGGUUUUACAGUGGUCUCGUUGUGUCUUAAAGAGUCCUUGGCUAUGCUGACUCAGGGAUGCUUCGUAUGUCAUGUGCACUGCCUUGUACAUGAUGGUGUUGUACGAUCGAGCCCAUGUAGGCCCCACCACGAAAACUUCAGACGAAAUCUCUAUCAUAUGUUUGUUCCGGCUUAUUCUGCAAGCCAAUCCUUUGUUUUUGUUUUGAGUUGUGGUAUUCGAGUUGCUUCAAAGUCAAAUGUUGAUUCCAUACCUUUUCCUAAGCGGUGUUCUCAUACCCUGAUGUGAACACUAAUCCUUCUCGAUCAUCGAGUUUGUCAUGUCAAUCCUUUUUAACCGGUGUGCUUCUCUUCAAGUGGAUCCGAUCAUUGCAACAUCUGCAAGAUCAAGUAUCAGUUCUUCUCAAUGGUGUUUGUUUCAUCCGUCCCCAAGUUGCCUUUGUUUUCCCGCCCACCCACCCUUUUUCUUCAAGGAAUCCGAUGUCUUAAUCAAGUAUCCUUUUAUUCUUGUGAAGUCUCUCCAUUCCUUUUCCGUCAAUGUUCUUAUCCGGUGAUUCUCAUGAAGAUUCUAACGGAGCUUCAAGUUCCUCAUUCUUCAUUCUUUUCAUCUCUGGUGGUUUCAAGUCAAGCUUUGUUGAUCAUGUCCUUUCCUCGUUUCAAUGCUUUCUCAUGCCGGUGCUAUUCUUAAUCAUUCACCUCUCGCUAUUCAUUUGUUCCGGAGUGCUGAAGAUAUUUCGAAGAUUUGUGUUUUCACUUUGCAUCCGUUCAAGCUAUUUCGAGGUCCUAUCUUAUUCAAGCCAUUUAAUUCAACCGGUGCAAUCUCUCCUUCAAAUCGUUCAAUGGUGUAUCUUUUGAGUGGGCCCUAACCCACACGUCUUUUCCCAGGAUCUUACCUGACUCUUCUUAUUUUCCCAGUGUUACUCUCAAAUUCUUUUCAAAGUUUGACGUAAGAAUGAGUUAUCAUCAGUCUAAUGCCUUUCCCCUUGAUCUUUCAAAUUCUUUCAUCGUUGGUUCAACCUUUCCAUUUUUCAUCCCGGAGUAUCUCAACAAUUUGGUGGUGUUUCUCAUCGUCAUUCUUAGAUAUUGAAGACCGAAGAAGAGUUUCUCUUUAAUCUUGCUCCAUUCUCUUCAAGAUUCAUGGCGCUAGCUUGUUUCCAUCCUCUCAUAAUUAUUUUCGAUUAUGAGAAUCUUUUUCACCCAUCAGGAGAUAUUCAAGGGUAUUUUCAGUUCAAUUAUCCGGAGCCCAUCAUUUCAGAAGACUUGUUCAUUCUCAGCUUUCAGCUCUCGUUCCCCAAAUCUCACUGGUGCAUCAUUCAAUAUUCUUUAAUCAGCGUGUGAUCUCUUCAUUUCAGUUGUAUCUAAAUUCUCUCAAGUAUCUUCGUUCAUUUCAUAAUUCUUCUCGGUGUUCCUUUAGCUUUUCUUCGUUCAUUUUCAUUUCUUACGGUGGUUCUUCCAGAUUUCUCUUCCUUAUGAAUUUAUUCGUUGUCAAUCCUACCGGUGGUUCAUAGAAGACCUUCCCAAGUUGGCGCUAUAUCUCUCUUAAUCCUUGCUACGAGAAUAAGUAGGGUGCCAAAUCCGUUGAUUGUCAUCAAUUUAAUUGGUGAAGGAUAAGCAUAAUGUAAUUCUUAUUCUUGUUUCGUCCAAAUGAUUCAAUUCCUUAUUCUGGAGUGGUUCAUCAUACAUAUUCUUGGUUUCAAGUGCUUAUCUUUCUUUUCCGGAGUUCCAAGCUCUCGCAAUUAUGUAAUCACGGAGAUCUAUGUAAAUCUUUACAAGGUUCCACCUUGUGUUUUCAACUACCCUUUCUUUCCGUUUGAUCAUUCUUUUGUUUAACGGAGUUCUUCAUGGAGGUUCUACAUGAUGGUUCAUCAAAGAUUUAAUUCCUUCUAGAAGUGUUCAUCAAGAUUCUUUUCAGAGGAGUUCAAGCAUUCUUCAUUUUGCUAUGUAGAGUGCAAUUCUUUCUUCUGUAUCAUUGGAGGUGGUAUUUUUCAUUCUUGGUAAUCUGAGUUCAUGUUCCAUGAUUCACAUGUUUUUAAGAAUGAGAUACUUUAAAUCCAUCAAUCUCGUCAUCGGAGUUAUCUUGGGUUAUAUUUCACCUAAAGCCUUCCCUAAGGACUGUUGCUAUCUAUGGUGCUUAUAAAGGACCUGAGUUCUUCUUUAUCCUCCCGGUGAAUUACUUUCUCGUCUCCUUGUUCAUAUCAAUCCAAUUCUUUUCCCGUGAGUGGCAACUUGUCAUCUCUUAAUUUGAGAUGUACUCCACAAGACCAUAUCAAGCUUAUCCUUUCGUUGUUGGUUUUCCAACAACUCCACUCGACCCAUCUCCUAAGGAUGCCUUCUCAAGCUCUUUUGUGGCAUAAGAUGGCAUUUUAUUCUCCAUUCUUUUAUUUCAAUUAUCUAUCUUCUAUUCUUUCUUCCGGAGGCCUUGUGAUGUUGCUCUUUUCAAUCAUCAUCUCGAAUUGUGAAGAUCAUGUUUUUCUUUUCGUGCUUAUCUGCUAAACCGGAGUGUCGUUCCCUCUUAUCAAAUUCUUCCCAUUCUGUCAAGUUUUGCCUCCCUUCUUAGACGGAGUGCUGCCCAAAUUAUAUCAUCUUUAUUUCCUCUCUACCUUGUUCUAUCGGAGUGCUUCCCGAUGUUGUUCUUCCUUGUCCCUCAUUUCUAACGGAGUGCUUUCAACUUUGUUCAUUUCCGUUGUAUUCUUUCUUUCAUGAAUUUGUUCCACCUCUCAAGGUGCGUGGUUUCACUCAUUUGUCCAAGAAGCAACUUUGUUUUACCUUUUCUCUUCCUCUUCCGUUUCCCUCCGGUGCCAUCCUAGAUCUCGGGACGAGAUCCUCUCGUAGUGGUGGAGUCUUGUGACGCCCCAAGACCGGAGCUUCAGAUGCCUUCCAUGGGUUCCGAGUUUCGUCGUGUAUUUUGUUUGGUUCGUUGCAUUCAUCUUUGCAUCAUGUGCAUUGCAUCAUGUCAUCAUGCAACCCGUUUUAAAACUCAACCAAAUAAACCGUAUGGAUCUUCGGUCCAUUUAAAUCGAGGGAGUUCACAAGGUGAAAUUCUCUUUAUAACAUAUAAAAGUCUCCUACUAUUUUAGGGAGCUAUAUUGAAAUAUUCCAUUAGUGUGGAACCACCCUCAAACACACUUGCAGUUUAAAUUAUAUGCCUUUCAUAAUUUCCUUUCCAACCUUCUCCAAACCCUAUGCCCA